This 253-nucleotide ribosomal RNA is filed under the name uncultured bacterium. Its description in RNAcentral is "partial 16S ribosomal RNA". It matches the Rfam family "Bacterial small subunit ribosomal RNA", at positions 524 to 776 of the family's 1533-position model. The record is from RNAcentral.
UACGGAGGGUGCAAGCGUUAUCCGGAUGUACUGGGUUUAAAGGGUGUGUAGGCGGACUAUUAAGUCAGGGGGGAAAUCCCGAGGCUCAACCUCGGAACUGCCUUUGAUACUAUUAGUCUUGAAUGUUGUUGAGGUAGGCGGAAUAAGUCAUGUAGCGGUGAAAUGCAUAGAUAUGACUUAGAACACCAAUUGCGAAGGCAGCUUGCUAAACAAAUAUUGACGCUGAGGCACGAAAGCGUGGGGAUCAAACAGG